GAUCCGUUAGCUCAGCUGGUAGAGCACAACACUUUUAAUGUUGGGGCCCUGGGUUCAAGUCCCAGACGGAUCA
This 73-nucleotide transfer RNA is filed under the name Odoribacteraceae bacterium. Its description in RNAcentral is "tRNA-Lys". It matches the Rfam family "tRNA". From Rfam's summary of the family: Transfer RNA (tRNA) molecules are approximately 80 nucleotides in length. Their secondary structure includes four short double-helical elements and three loops (D, anti-codon, and T loops). Lineage: Bacteria; Pseudomonadati; Bacteroidota; Bacteroidia; Bacteroidales; Odoribacteraceae. The record is from RNAcentral.